AUUGAACGCUGGCGGCAUGCCUUACACAUGCAAGUCGAACGGUAACGCGGGGCAACCUGGCGACGAGUGGCGAACGGGUGAGUAAUGCAUCGGAACGUGCCCAGUAGUGGGGGAUAGCCCGGCGAAAGCCGGAUUAAUACCGCAUACGACCUACGGGUGAAAGCGGGGGACCGUAAGGCCUCGCGCUAUUGGAGCGGCCGGUGUCAGAUUAGGUUGUUGGUGGGGUAAAGGCCUACCAAGCCGACGAUCUGUAGCUGGUCUGCGAGGACGACCAGCCAAACUGGGAAUGAGAGACGGCCCAGAGUCCUACGGGAGGCAGCAGUGGGGAAUUUUGGACAAUGGGGGCAACCCUGAUCCAGCCAUGCCGCGUGCGGGAAGAAGGCCUUCGGGUUGUAAACCGCUUUUGUCAGGGAAGAAACGCUCUGGGCUAAUACCCUGGGGUAAUGACGGUACCUGAAGAAUAAGCACCGGCUAACUACGUGCCAGCCGCCGCGGUAA
Molecule: ribosomal RNA, 498 nt
Filed under: uncultured bacterium
Lineage: Bacteria
Description: partial 16S ribosomal RNA
Rfam family: Bacterial small subunit ribosomal RNA
Source: RNAcentral